GUGCCAGCAGCCGCGGUAAUACGUAGGGUGCAGGCGUUAAUCGGAAUUACUGGGCGUAAAGCGUGCGCAGGCGGCUCCUUAAGUCAGAUGUGAAAUCCCCGGGCUUAACCUGGGAACUGCGUUUGAAACUGGGGAGCUAGAGUGUGGAAGAGGGGGGUGGAAUUCCAGGUGUAGCAGUGAAAUGCGUAGAUAUCUGGAGGAACACCGAUGGCGAAGGCAGCCCCCUGGGCUAACACUGACGCUCAUGCACGAAAGCGUGGGGAGCAAACAGGAGGAUAUACCACCGGAUUAC
Molecule: ribosomal RNA, 292 nt
Filed under: uncultured bacterium
Lineage: Bacteria
Description: partial 16S ribosomal RNA
Rfam family: Bacterial small subunit ribosomal RNA
Source: RNAcentral